GAUGAACGCUGACAGAAUGCUUAACACAUGCAAGUCUUUGGCGAAGCUGUGCUUGCACAGCCUAGCCAAGGCGGACGGGUGAGUAACGCGUAAGGAACUUGCCCUGCAGUCAGGGAUAACAGACGGAAACGACUGAUAAGACCUGGUAAAGUCAGGCGGACUCAUGUCCAGCCUGAUGAAAAGAGAUGCUGCAGGAGAGCCUUGCGUCCUAUUAGCUUGUUGGUGGGGUAACGGCCCACCAAGGCGAUGAUAGGUAGCCGGCCUGAGAGGGUGGACGGCCACAAGGGGACUGAGACACGGCCCUUACUCCUACGGGAGGCAGCAGUGGGGAAUAUUGGACAAUGGGGGCAACCCUGAUCCAGCAAUUCUGUGUGCACGAUGAAGGUUUUCGGAGUGUAAAGCGCUUUCAGCAGGGAAGAAAAAAAUGACGGUACCUGCAGAAGAAGCGACGGCUAAAUACGUG
This 463-nucleotide ribosomal RNA is filed under the name uncultured bacterium. RNAcentral describes it as "partial 16S ribosomal RNA". It matches the Rfam family "Bacterial small subunit ribosomal RNA", at positions 28 to 507 of the family's 1533-position model. The record is from RNAcentral.